This is a long non-coding RNA of Gasterosteus aculeatus aculeatus (three-spined stickleback), 629 nucleotides long. NCBI's taxonomy places the organism in Eukaryota, Metazoa, Chordata, Actinopteri, Perciformes, Gasterosteidae. The record is from Ensembl.
AUUGUGCCCCUUUAAUUUAUUAUAUAAGGAGGGACCUGUAGAUCUGCUCGCUCUCUGACAGCUGAUACGCACCUCCCCCUUCCGGGUUUACCUGGCUGCAGGUUCGGCAGACGCUCGGCACUCUCUGCAGGGUUGUGCAAAUUGUUCCACCGUGCAGGCGCUGGCAGGUCGGACUGCGUGUUUGCUCGUUUUGUCCCGGAGCUAUGCCACGCUGAGGUCCCGACUGCCCUGACCCGUUUUGGACUGCUGCUGCUUUGUGUGGGGAUAAAACCCACACUUUUUACGGACCUUGCCUGCUGCUGCGUUCGGGUGUGGAAAUCCCGUUGUCCGCAUUUUUAUGCCUAUUGUAUUAUGUUUUCAUGUUUAGCUGCCUGAAAUAGGAGGUGGAUGGCAAGGGAGAUUUUUCUUUAUUAUUUUUGUAGCUAUUUUUGAUUAUUUGAUGGUUUAGUUCUUUGAGUUCAAACUGUAACCUGUUUUGAUAUUUUCCUUUCUUUUUGAUUUGUAUUGGAUCUCUAUUGUUGUUGAAUUUAUUUUCAGUCUCCCAUUAACUGUCCAUCUUUGUGAUUCCAGGUGCUGAGGGCCUCACUGGUGAUCCUGUUUGGUGAUGGUGUCCCUUCGUGUGUAGUGUC